RNAcentral lists this ribosomal RNA (458 nucleotides) under uncultured Sphingobacteriales bacterium. Its description in RNAcentral is "bacterial SSU rRNA". It matches the Rfam family "Bacterial small subunit ribosomal RNA", at positions 925 to 1382 of the family's 1533-position model. The record is from RNAcentral. Lineage: Bacteria; Pseudomonadati; Bacteroidota; Sphingobacteriia; Sphingobacteriales.
ACAAGCGGAGGAGCAUGUGGUUUAAUUCGAUGGUACGCGAGGAACCGUUACCUGGGCUCGAACGUAAGAUGACUGUAGGUGAAAAGCUUACAUCUCUUCGGAGCAUUUUACGAGGUGCUGCAUGGUUGUCGUCAGCUCGUGCCGUGAGGUGUCGGGUUAAGUCCCAUAACGAGCGCAACCCUACCUUUAGUUGCCAUCAGGUAAUGCUGGGGGCUCUAAAGGAACUGCCUACGCAAGUAGUGAGGAAGGCGGGGAUGACGUCAAAUCAGCACGGCCCUUACGUCCAGGGCUACACACGUGCUACAAUGGCCGAUACAGAGGGCAGCUACCUGGUGACAGGAUGCAAAUCUCCAAAGUCGGUCUCAGUUCGGAUCGGAGUCUGCAACCCGACUCCGUGAAGUUGGAUUCGCUAGUAAUCGCGCAUCAGCCAUGGCGCGGUGAAUACGUUCCCGGGCCUU